AUGAACGCUGGCGGCGUGCCUAAUACAUGCAAGUCGAGCGAACAGAUGAGGAGCUUGCUCCUCUGGCGUUAGCGGCGGACGGGUGAGUAACACGUGGAUAACCUACCUAUAAGACUGGGAUAACUUCGGGAAACCGGAGCUAAUACCGGAUAAUAUAUUGAACCGCAUGGUUCAAUAGUGAAAGACGGUUUUGCUGUCACUUAUAGAUGGAUCCGCGCCGCAUUAGCUAGUUGGUAAGGUAACGGCUUACCAAGGCAACGAUGCGUAGCCGACCUGAGAGGGUGAUCGGCCACACUGGAACUGAGACACGGUCCAGACUCCUACGGGAGGCAGCAGUAGGGAAUCUUCCGCAAUGGGCGAAAGCCUGACGGAGCAACGCCGCGUGAGUGAUGAAGGUCUUCGGAUCGUAAAACUCUGUUAUUAGGGAAGAACAAAUGUGUAAGUAACUAUGCACGUCUUGACGGUACCUAAUCAGAAAGCCACGGCUAACUACGUG
Molecule: ribosomal RNA, 496 nt
Filed under: uncultured bacterium
Lineage: Bacteria
Description: partial 16S ribosomal RNA
Rfam family: Bacterial small subunit ribosomal RNA
Source: RNAcentral